CUAUUCACAAACGCACAAAGCAGCUCAAGUCAGCGUUUUAUGAUCAUGUCCUUUCACAUUUUGAGAUGAAGGGAUUCAUCUGAUCAGUGUUUUUUGUUAUGCCCACAAGAUGUUUGUUGAUUUUUCUGCUAGAUUUAUACCUCUUGUUUGUAUCUGUAUUUUCUUGCAAAAUUUAGUCUUGUCUUCUCCAAUAAGCACAUCUCAGUGUCCUAUGAACAAAGCAGCUCAAGUCAGCGUUUUAUGAUCACGUCCUUUCACAUUUUGAGAUGAAGGGAUUCAUCUGAUCAGUGUUUUUUGUUAUGCCCCCAAGAUGUUUGUUGAUUUUUCUGCUAGAUUUAUACCUCUUGUUUGUAUCUGUAUUUUCUUGCAAAAUUUAGUCUCGUCUUCUCCAAUAAGCACAUCCCAGUGUCCUAUGAAUUUCAACUAUGUUCUAACAAUCCAUUGGGACUCAUCUGCCUGCAAAAACAAUGGAGAAAACCCUGACUUUGAU
Molecule: long non-coding RNA, 490 nt
Filed under: Olea europaea (common olive)
Lineage: Eukaryota; Viridiplantae; Streptophyta; Magnoliopsida; Lamiales; Oleaceae
Description: long non-coding RNA (OEUR_LNC001034)
Source: RNAcentral